This 91-nucleotide transfer RNA is filed under the name Candidatus Fermentibacterota bacterium. Its description in RNAcentral is "Candidatus Fermentibacteria bacterium tRNA-Ser". It matches the Rfam family "tRNA". From Rfam's summary of the family: Transfer RNA (tRNA) molecules are approximately 80 nucleotides in length. Their secondary structure includes four short double-helical elements and three loops (D, anti-codon, and T loops). Further hydrogen bonds mediate the characteristic L-shaped molecular structure. tRNAs have two regions of fundamental functional importance: the anti-codon, which is responsible for specific mRNA codon recognition, and the 3' end, to which the tRNAs corresponding amino acid is attached (by aminoacyl-tRNA synthetases). tRNAs cope with the degeneracy of the genetic code in two manners: having more than one tRNA (with a specific anti-codon) for a particular amino acid; and 'wobble' base-pairing, i.e. permitting non-standard base-pairing at the 3rd anti-codon position. RNAcentral also lists the same sequence under 2 other names. Lineage: Bacteria; Pseudomonadati; Candidatus Fermentibacterota. The record is from RNAcentral.
GGAGAGGUGGCCGAGCUGGUUUAAGGCGUACGCCUGCUAAGCGUAUGUGGGGGAAACUCCACCGAGGGUUCGAAUCCCUCCUUCUCCGCCA